UAAAAAAUUUUGGCGGUAUUUUAAGCUUAUUAGAGGAAUUUGCUCUGUGAUGGACACAACGCCUUAAUCUUACUUAAUUUAGUAAUUUAAAUCAGUUUGUAUACCACUAUAUUAAUUAUAUUGAAUAGUUAUAUUUAAAAUUUUUUUAAAAAAAUAUAUUAAGUCAAGGUGCAUCUAAUAAUUAUGAAUGAAGUGAAUUACAUUAAUUUUAAUUUAAUUUUUUACAUGAAAAAAUUAAUUAGGAUUUAAUAGUAAAAUACUAAUAUUAUGAGUAUUUGAAUCAAGCUCUAAAAUAUGCACAUAUCGCCCGUCGCUCUCAGAAGUGAGAUAAGUCGUAACAAAGUAAAAAUACUGGAAAGUGUUUUU
This 366-nucleotide ribosomal RNA is filed under the name Ixodes scapularis (black-legged tick). RNAcentral describes it as "partial 12S ribosomal RNA". Lineage: Eukaryota; Metazoa; Arthropoda; Arachnida; Ixodida; Ixodidae. The record is from RNAcentral.